This 68-nucleotide transfer RNA is filed under the name Limnodynastes salmini (salmon-striped frog). RNAcentral's name for it is "tRNA-Ser". The record is from RNAcentral. Lineage: Eukaryota; Metazoa; Chordata; Amphibia; Anura; Limnodynastidae.
GGGCCCGACACGGCGUAACGAGAACUGCUAAUUACUCGUAACCUUGGUUCAACUCCAAGGCAGGCCCG